Long non-coding RNA from Anthonomus grandis grandis, 516 nucleotides. RefSeq lists it as uncharacterized. NCBI's taxonomy places the organism in Eukaryota, Metazoa, Arthropoda, Insecta, Coleoptera, Curculionidae. The record is from RefSeq and is a predicted model, not a curated record. The transcript is spliced from 3 exons.
UACAUUAAUUUCCGCACCCAUGCGGGCCAAUAAAAUCACGGAUCGCUUUCGGAUUUUGUCAGUCGGCAUCGUCGAAAUAAUCGGCGGGACUGUUGAUGUGGUUUGCUAACCUCACUUUCAAUUUUCAGCUUUGAGCUUUGAGUUUUUGAAACGUUUUGUUGUUUAUUUACAAUUUGUGCGACCAAGAGUAAUUAUUAUUAAUUACAUUAUCUUGUUUCCUUGUAAAUUCAAAACACCACUGUAUAUUUACAUUAAUUUACUACACCUUUAUUCGGUGAACAUGGAUAUAAACAGGAAUUUGGCAGAGUUUGAAAUUUGGAGGUCUGCAGAAAACAGAGAGGUAGAUUAUGCUGUUCAUCGAAGAAAGAAAUGUGCUAAUGGGGAAGAAUUUAUUUACUAUAAUUGUAAUAGAAGUGAUUCAAAAGGAUAUGUCAGUACAUGUUUGCAACGGAAUUUAAAGUCUAAAGGAAGCAUUCGUAUGCAAGGAAUUUGUCCAUCAAGAAUAAUAGCUAAAAU